GGGGUGUUAGCUCAGUUGGUAGAGCAGCGGACUCUUAAUCCGUAGGUCGAGUGUUCGAGUCACUCACGCCCCACCA
Molecule: transfer RNA, 76 nt
Filed under: Cupriavidus sp. USMAA2-4
Lineage: Bacteria; Pseudomonadati; Pseudomonadota; Betaproteobacteria; Burkholderiales; Burkholderiaceae
Description: tRNA-Lys
Rfam family: tRNA
About the family: Transfer RNA (tRNA) molecules are approximately 80 nucleotides in length. Their secondary structure includes four short double-helical elements and three loops (D, anti-codon, and T loops).
Source: RNAcentral